GUCAUGCAGUCAGCCCUGCCUCUUUGCCUCCUCAUGGUGCCGGAGUUAAGCAGCGUCGCCCUAGCAAGUUGCUCCUACAUAACUGGGGCUGCCUGCCCAUCUUGGGUGGCCCUUUUAACCGCCAGCUGCAGGG
This is a small nucleolar RNA of Nannospalax galili (Upper Galilee mountains blind mole rat), 133 nucleotides long. NCBI's taxonomy places the organism in Eukaryota, Metazoa, Chordata, Mammalia, Rodentia, Spalacidae. The record is from Ensembl.